Molecule: long non-coding RNA, 534 nt
Filed under: Phoenix dactylifera (date palm)
Lineage: Eukaryota; Viridiplantae; Streptophyta; Magnoliopsida; Arecales; Arecaceae
Description: long non-coding RNA (PDAC_LNC022323)
Source: RNAcentral
CCUCUAUGUUGUAGAGUAAUUUAUUCCUAGAUUAAGUAGAGUAAAUUAAUGAAUUUAGAAGGCAAAAGAUUAUGUACCAACCUUUUGGAAAUACUUAUUUUGUCCUUCUCAAAAAAUGGUUUAGUUCAAGCGCACUAAUGAGUAUUUGACCGAAAAGAAUGGAAUAUAUAGGUUAAAUGAAUUUUACUCCCUUUUAUUUUGUUUUCAAACAUAGCAUUUUAAUUUUUUUGCUUACCAAAUUAACUAUUAGACUUGAGUUAGUCUUUCCUAAGAACAUAUUUAACAAGACGACUAGAAAUCAAAAUGUACUUAUAUUUUUCUUGAGCCUCUCUAUACUCCUAAUCCCCUUCUCUUUGCACCCAUGUACUCACUCACCUCCGCCUCGAUCUGGUCGGUCUUGGUCGCUGUGCGCCACCAAUCAUUCGGUCUUGCUCUUUUUUCUUCUUCCUACUGCGCUUUUCUUGUGCCACAACCCCCCUCAUUGUGCUCUAUUCGAGCAUUGACAACCUCAUUCUACUUUCGGCUACUCUCUCU